Molecule: ribosomal RNA, 466 nt
Filed under: uncultured bacterium
Lineage: Bacteria
Description: bacterial SSU rRNA
Rfam family: Bacterial small subunit ribosomal RNA
Source: RNAcentral
CGAACGCUGGCGGCAUGGAUUAGGCAUGCAAGUCGAACGCUCACCGGCAAGGUGGGAGUGGCGGAAGGGGUGAGGAACACGUGAGUAAUCUACUCCAAGUUGGGAAUAACAGUUGGAAACGACUGCUAAUACCGAAUGUGGCUGUUGGACCGCAUGGUUUGACGGCUAAAGAUUUAUCGCUUGGAGAUGAGCUCGCGUCCCAUUAGCUAGUUGGUGAGGUAACGGCUCACCAAGGCGACGAUGGGUAGCUGGUCUGAGAGGAUGGUCAGCCACACUGGGACUGAGACACUGCCCAGACUCCUACGGGAGGCUGCAGUCGAGAAUCUUGGGCAAUGCGCGAAAGCCGUGACCCAGCAAUGCCGCGUGCGGGAUGAAGGUCUUCGGAUUGUAAACCGCUGUCACUCGGGACGAACAAAAUGACGGUACCGAGGGAGGAAGCCACGGCUAACUACGUGCCAGCCGCCGC